This 431-nucleotide ribosomal RNA is filed under the name uncultured Acidobacteriota bacterium. RNAcentral's name for it is "bacterial SSU rRNA". It matches the Rfam family "Bacterial small subunit ribosomal RNA", at positions 405 to 861 of the family's 1533-position model. The record is from RNAcentral. Lineage: Bacteria; Pseudomonadati; Acidobacteriota.
AGGAUGUAGUCCUUGGACGUAAACUCCUUUUGACCAGACGAUAAUGACGGUAUCUCGGAAGAAGCCCCGGCUAACUCUGUGCCAGCACCCGCGGUAAUACAGAGGGCGCGAGCGUUGUUCUGAAUUAUUGGGCGUAAAGGGCGCGUAGGCGGUGCGCUAAGUCUCAUGUGAAAUCUCCCGGCUCACUCGGGAUGCACUGAAACUGUGGGCUGAGUAUGGGAGAGGAGCGUGGAAUUCCCGGUGUAUCGGUGAAAUGCGUAGAUAUCUGGAGGAACACCUGUGGCGAAAGCGGCGCUCUGGGCCAUAACUGACGCUGAGGCGCGAAAGCUAGGGGAGCAAACACGAUUAUGAUACCCUGGUAGUCCUAGCCCUAAACGAUGAGUGCUUGGUGUGGUCGGUACCCAAUCCUUCAGUGCCGCAGCUAACGCGUA